Non-coding RNA from Araneus ventricosus, 76 nucleotides. Lineage: Eukaryota; Metazoa; Arthropoda; Arachnida; Araneae; Araneidae. The record is from the annotation of a GenBank genome assembly.
GCAAUCGGCUGGCGCAAUCGGCUAGCGCGUUCGGCUGUUAACCGAAAGGUUGGUGGUUCGAGCGCACCCGUCGGCG